ACUCCUACGGGAGGCAGCAGUAGGGAAUCUUCCACAAUGGGCGCAAGCCUGAUGGAGCAACACCGCGUGAGUGAAGAAGGGUUUCGGCUCGUAAAACUCUGUUGUUGAAGAAGAACGUGCGUGAGAGUAACUGUUCACGCAGUGACGGUAUUCAACCAGAAAGUCACGGCUAACUACGUGCCAGCAGCCGCGGUAAU
This 197-nucleotide ribosomal RNA is filed under the name uncultured bacterium. RNAcentral describes it as "partial 16S ribosomal RNA". It matches the Rfam family "Bacterial small subunit ribosomal RNA", at positions 335 to 524 of the family's 1533-position model. The record is from RNAcentral.